Peromyscus eremicus (cactus mouse) is the source of this 107-nucleotide small nuclear RNA. The record is from RefSeq and is a predicted model, not a curated record. NCBI's taxonomy places the organism in Eukaryota, Metazoa, Chordata, Mammalia, Rodentia, Cricetidae.
GUGCUCAUUUCAGCAUCAUAUACACUAUAUUUGGAACAAUUCAGAGAAGAUUAACAUGCCUUCUAUGCAAAGUUGAAACACCAAUUUAUAAAGUAUUUCAUAAUUCU